This 468-nucleotide ribosomal RNA is filed under the name uncultured bacterium. Its description in RNAcentral is "partial 16S ribosomal RNA". It matches the Rfam family "Bacterial small subunit ribosomal RNA", at positions 28 to 507 of the family's 1533-position model. The record is from RNAcentral.
GACGAACGCUGGCGGCGUGCUUAACACAUGCAAGUCGAACGGAAAGGCCCUGCUUUUGUGGGGUGCCCGAGUGGCGAACGGGUGCGUAACACGUGAGUAACCUGCCCUUGACUUUGGGAUAACUUCAGGAAACUGGGGCUACUACCGGAUAGGAGCCCCUGCUGCAGGGAGGGCGUUGGAACGUCUCGGCGGUUGGGGAUGGACUCGCGGCUUAUCAGCUAGUUGGUGGGGUAGUGGCUUACCAAGGAUUUGACGGGUAGCCGGCCUGAGAGGGUGACCGGCCACAUUGGGACUGAGAUACGGCCCAGACUCCUACGGGAGGCAGCAGUGGGGAAUAUUGCACAAUGGGCGGAAGCCUGAUGCAGCAACGCCGCGUGCGGGAUGACGGCCUUCGGGUUGUAAACCGCUUUCGCCUGUGACGAAGCGUGAGUGACGGUAAUGGGUAAAGAAGCACCGGCUAACUACGUG